Molecule: long non-coding RNA, 435 nt
Organism: Leopardus geoffroyi (Geoffroy's cat)
Lineage: Eukaryota; Metazoa; Chordata; Mammalia; Carnivora; Felidae
Exons: 3
Source: RefSeq, a predicted model, not a curated record
GUUUUAUCAAGUCUCCCAAGAGUGAUACUUAGGUAGUACUUUUGUGGAUGCAUAAGAGAGAAGUUAAUUAAUUAUAUCCAAAGGAUGCCUUUGGGCAUUAGGGCUUAAUUUACUUGUAGGACUCCAGUGGAGAAGGACACUAAGACUUGCUUUGAAUAUACCAAACAAAGGAUGGCAAAGGAUGGAUGACUGACACUCUUUCAGUGCCUACGUUGCAGAAGAAAGAGAAAUUGAGCAUGUGAGCAGGGAAGAUGGGAAGAGGGAUAGAGAGAGAGAAUCCCAAGCAGGCUCCAUCUCUAACAUGGAGCCCUUUGCAGGGCUUGGUUUCACCACUCUGGGAUCAUGACCUGAGCUGGAAUCAAGAGUCAGACACUUCAACCGACUGAGCCACUGAGAUACAGAGCAUGAACAGAGGAGGGACAGAGAGAGGGAGAC